Molecule: ribosomal RNA, 825 nt
Filed under: Bradymyces pullus
Lineage: Eukaryota; Fungi; Ascomycota; Eurotiomycetes; Chaetothyriales; Trichomeriaceae
Description: eukaryotic LSU rRNA
Rfam family: Eukaryotic large subunit ribosomal RNA
Source: RNAcentral
ACGGCGAGUGAAGCGGCAACAGCUCAAAUUUGAAAUCUGGCCGUCAGGUCCGAGUUGUAAUUUGUAGAGGAUGUUUUGGGCACCGCAGCCGGAUAAAUUUCUUGGAACAGAAUGUCACAGAGGGUGAGAGUCCCGUCUUGACCGGCUGUAGGACCUGUGUAAAACUCCUUCGACGAGUCGACUUGUUUGGGAAUGCAGGUCAAAAUGGGUGGUAAAUUUCAUCUAAAGCUAAAUAUGGGCCAGAGACCGAUAGCGCACAAGUAGAGUGAUCGAAAGAUGAAAAGCACUUUGAAAAGAGAGUUAAACAGUAUGUGAAAUUGUUGAAAGGGAAGCGCAGGCAACCAGACUCGAGCGCGGGGUUCCCCCUUCCUUUUGGUUGGGCUACUUCCCCGUGACCGGGCCAUCAUCAGUUUUGGGGGCGGGUUAAAGGCCUUGGGAAUGUAUCUACCCCUCCGGGGGUAGACUUAUAGCCCUCGGUGUCAUGCCGCCUCCCGGGACUGAGGAACGCGCUUCGGCGAGGAUGAUGGCGUAAUGGUUGUCUGCGGCCCGUCUUGAAACACGGACCAAGGAGUCUAACAUCUAUGCGAGUGUUCGGGUGUCAAACCCUUGCGCGGAAUGAAAGUGAACGGGGUAGGAAGGCCUGAGCCUGCACUAUCGACCGAUCCUGAUGUCUUCGGAUGGAUUUGAGUAAGAGCAUAGCUGUUGGGACCCGAAAGAUGGUGAACUAUGCGUGAAUAGGGUGAAGCCAGAGGAAACUCUGGUGGAGGCUCGCAGCGGUUCUGACGUGCAAAUCGAUCGUCAAAUUUGCGUAUAGGGGCGAAAGAC